UUGCAAAUCACAACAUAGAUUAAUUGACCUCAAAGAGAAAUAGAAAUCACCAGUCGAUAUUUAUACAGGCACGACAUUUAAUAUUUCAUUGGUAUCAUCCAACCAAAAACUAAGAAAUUAAUUAAAAAUUCAUAGCCUAAUAUUGAAAAUGAUAAAUAGAAAUCGCAUUAUAUAAAUGCGACACAGGCUGAUCGACAAAUUGGGCACGAAAUCUUAAUUGUUAUCCAUUUUAAUAUGCAAUGUUCGGGAAAUUUGUGAGCACAAUGCGUUUCUACAAUUUUCAUACCUUCAGAAAAUUCUUCCAAACAAAUGGAGCAUCGAUCCGAUGUUAGAUCACAAAAUUGAAAUUUAUUGUAAACAAUGGCUCGCUUCACUUUGUACAAUCUUGCGGUUCAUCGCUUUCAAUUUGUUCCAAUACCUCAAUUUCCGAUAUCCCCAAAAGGAAUUUCAAUAUUCGUAAAAUAUCAGAAUCAGCACCAUCGGCAGAUUCAAUUUCCUCACUUGAUGUUUCAUCCUCAAAAUUUUCCAAAUUUCUCUUCAUAUUCCAGGACCUCCCGGUCAUCAAUCACAGAAUUUUCGUCCACUAGAUGUUCUUUGGUAUGAUCGACCGUCUUUUUUCGAUGAAUUUCAACCACAGCAACAGGCUUCAGACGAUUACCGUACAAAGUUCGAAGGUUUAUGCGAAAAUAUGUACGUAGAUUUGUAGCUAUACUUUCGGCUAGUAUUAUACAGUGUUCUGGUAUGAAAAACUCACCGGAUAAAAUGGAAAAAUCCGACUUAUGAAUCCGACAGGGGCGACAUAAAUCGAAAGUAAUUAAAUCAGGAUGCACUGCGAAUUCUGUACACAAAUUAGUUCCAUCUCCGUUCUCAUUCGAAGUUACCGUAAUUAUUUCAUCAUAAACCCUAAGCAGAAAUAAGCCCUUUCUAUUCGUCUUCUCCGGGAGCUUUUCGUUCCACUUGAACAUUCGCAGAUGUACGCCAUUGAUUUCUUCAGUUAUGACUACCAUCUCUAACACACACAAAAUCACGGAUUUUAUCUAAUUUUUUGGAAACUUUGAACUGGAAUGGUCUAUAUUCACUAGAAAUUUCGAUCAGAAAUUGUGAGGUAUGGAUGCUGGUUAAUUUCGGUCGCACCCUAAUCUGGGAAGAAAGAUAAAUUGAUAACAAAAUUUAAAUUCUAUAUUUCAAGAACUGGUAUACUAAACUCAAAUUAGUUACAAUCCUUAGCGUUGAGAAUUUGGCCAAAAAAUUGAAAAUGAGAGUAAUAUGAGCAAUAUGAAAA
Molecule: long non-coding RNA, 1282 nt
Filed under: Olea europaea subsp. europaea
Lineage: Eukaryota; Viridiplantae; Streptophyta; Magnoliopsida; Lamiales; Oleaceae
Source: RNAcentral